This 315-nucleotide ribosomal RNA is filed under the name uncultured eukaryote. RNAcentral's name for it is "partial large subunit ribosomal RNA". It matches the Rfam family "Eukaryotic large subunit ribosomal RNA", at positions 40 to 350 of the family's 3401-position model. The record is from RNAcentral.
AUAUUAUUAAGCGGAGGAAAAGAAACUAGCAAGGAUUCCCCUAGUAACGGCGAGUGAAGCGGGAAUAGCUCAAUUUUAAAAUCUCCGUGUCUUACACGGCGAAUUGUAAUCUAGAGAAGCAUUUUCUAGUUCUGCUCUUGGUAUAAAUCCUUUGGAAAAGGGUAUCAUAGAGGGUGACAAUCCCGUCUUUGACUAAGAGUUUGAUCUUUUACGAUAUGCUUUCAACGAGUCGGGUUGUUUGGGAAUGCAGCCCAAAAUGGGUGGUAAAUUUCAUCUAAAGCUAAAUAUGGGCAUGAGACCGAUAGCGCACAAGUA